AGUGGCGCACGGGUGCGUAACGCGUGGGAACCUGCCUUUAGGUUCGGGAUAACAGUUGGAAACGACUGCUAAUACCGAAUGAUGUCUUCGGACCAAAGAUUUAUCGCCUUUAGAUGGGCCCGCGUUGGAUUAGGUAGUUGGUGGGGUAAAGGCCUACCAAGCCGACGAUCCAUAGCUGGUCUGAGAGGAUGAUCAGCCACACUGGGACUGAGACACGGCCCAGACUCCUACGGGAGGCAGCAGUGGGGAAUAUUGGACAAUGGGCGAAAGCCUGAUCCAGCAAUGCCGCGUGAGUGAUGAAGGCCUUAGGGUUGUAAAGCUCUUUUACUGGGGAUGAUAAUGACAGUACCCAGAGAAUAAGCUCCGGCUAACUCCGUGCCAGCAGCCGCGGUAAUACGGAGGGAGCUAGCGUUGUUCGGAAUUACUGGGCGUAAAGCGCGCGUAGGCGGCUUAUCAAGUCAGGGGUGAAAUCCCGGGGCUCAACCCCGGAACUGCCUCUGAAACUGGUAGACUAGAAUACUGGAGAGGCGAGUGGAAUUCCGAGUGUAGAGGUGAAAUUCGUAGAUAUUCGGAAGAACACCAGUGGCGACGCGACUCGCUGGACAGUUAUUGACGCUGAGUGCGAAAGCGUGGGGAGCAAACAGGAUUAGAUACCUGUUAGUCAACGCCGU
This 671-nucleotide ribosomal RNA is filed under the name uncultured bacterium. Its description in RNAcentral is "bacterial SSU rRNA". It matches the Rfam family "Bacterial small subunit ribosomal RNA", at positions 94 to 803 of the family's 1533-position model. The record is from RNAcentral.